UUAUUUUUGAGCAGUGAGGAGUUCCUUUAACCCCUUAAGGACACAUGACAUGUGUGACAUGUCAUGAUUCCCUUUUAUUCCAGAAGUUUGGUCCUUAAGGGGUUAAUGUCACUCACAUGUAAGGAGCGUUGCUAGCUCACAAUGCAGACAGAGAGCCAGCACUCCAGCAAAAAUCAGUUUUAGAAAUGGUGCUUUUCCGUGACCAAAUGUGACAUGGACUUAAUGAGAACCUUCAAGGUGUAUGUGUCGCCCCAUUAUAACACGGAAAAUGUACUAAAAAUGACAGAAAUUAAUAAAUAAUAUAACUAAAUGCCUCAGAUUCCUUUUCUAUAGCUAACCCCUGGGUCUGAUCUGUUUCACUGCCAGACAGAGGGUGACGGAGAUCUCCAAUGAUCCCACAGCUCUCAUAGAUUUAAAUAGCAGGACUGCACUAUGAUGUCACACAGACGUAUUAUCGGUAAUUCUAUAUUUAAUUGUAGUAAAUGUGCAGUAGAGUCAUGAUAUUCAUUAUUCAUGCAUAUGGUCAUGUUCUUUUUAUUUGUUAAAAUAGAAGCUGCGGAGAGAUCUCAUUGACGCGAAUGAGCUGUGACUGUCUGUCUGUCCAUAUUUGCUGAGCUGGGACUGUCUGUCUGUCCAUAUUUGCUGAGCUGGGACUGUCUAUCUGUCACUAGAUAAGUGUAAAAUAAGGCUCGGAGUUGAUGUGUGGGAAGUUGAAAUGUCACCACACACAUCACCUCUUGAUUAGACCAGUUGCUCUUUAUGCCUGGAGUGUGCUGGCUGAGAGUCCUGGGAGCUGACUGGCUGCAGCUAGUUCAGCCCAAUGCUGUCCUGUUUUGAUGAAACUGAAAUUAAAGGGACACUAUAGUCACCAGAACAACUGCAGCUUAUUGUAUUUGUUCUGGUGAGUAUAAUCAGUCUGUUCAGGCUUUUUCUGUAAACACUGUCUUUUCAGAGAAAAAGCAGUGUUUACAUUACAGUCUAAUGAUAACUGCAUUGGCCACUCCUCAGAGGGCUACUAGAGGGGCUUCCUAGGCUCUGCCCUUGAUCUGCCUCCUUGACAUUCUCAGCCAACCCAAUGCUUUCCGAUGGAAAAGCAUUGUGAUUGGCUUUGAUCACUACUUCUGAUGAUGUCAGACAAGCAGGCAGACCAGGGGCAGAGCCAGAAGCAACAGACUAGAAUAAAGGUAAGAUUUUGCUAUAUUUACAGGGGCAAGGGGGGCAGGGGGUUAGAUGGUCAUUUAAAAACUUUAGGGACAGGAAUAAAUGUUUAUGCUCCUGACCGUAUAGUGUUCCUUUAAUUCC
Non-coding RNA from Pelobates cultripes (western spadefoot toad), 1302 nucleotides. The record is from the annotation of a GenBank genome assembly. NCBI's taxonomy places the organism in Eukaryota, Metazoa, Chordata, Amphibia, Anura, Pelobatidae.